GUGAAAUUUGUGCACCUCAUAAAAAUUUUAUGGGGGUUUUGUUCCCUUAAACCCCCCAAACUUUUGUGUACGUUCCAAUUAAAUUAUUAUUGUUGCACUAUUAGGUCAACACAAUAUUUUUAAAACUUUUUUGCCUCUUAGUACUUUUUCGAUAAGCCAAUGUUUAUCGAGAUAUUUUGAAUAUUUGUCGAAUCCACCACAUAUUUGUAUAUGGUUAAAUACGAUUAUUAUAUUGGGAUAAACCGUAAUCGUACCCCCUCCUAACUGCCAAAGUGUCAUGGCCGCCGUCGGGACCUAUUGUGCUGACAUUUACAAUGUUUACAUAUAGAAAAGUUUGUUUUUUUCUGCUUAUAAUGCCGUUUUCUAAAGAUAUUAGUGAACAAAAUCGAUUUGCUAACAAUAUUUAAUAUAUUUUAAAUGUGCUAAAAUUGGAUUCAACAGCAAAAGUCGCAUAAAUAACAUAUAAAUAACGAAUUUGUUCACCUAUUACAAAUGGGGUUAUGUGGUUGUAACUGUUUAUUUUGGGAAUAAAAUGAAAAUGAUCAAUUAAACGACUGGAAAACUAUAGUGAAGUGAAGAACAUCUUGAAGUUCCAAUGAUGUUUCAAGAUGAGGUAAAUCGAAAUAAUUGUAUGUUAGAAGGACAGAGAAUAUGAAGAAAUGUUAUUGCUGCAUAUUUAGUGUAGUGAAAUACAAACUUCAAACAUUAUAAUAUAUUUUUUGAUUUCAAACAUUUCAUAUGAUUAUGAAAGAACAUCUUUCUUUUUAAAACAAUGAAGAAGUGAAGAACAUAAUAAAGUUCCAACGAAAAUGAUUCCAGAUGAGGAAAAUCGAAAUAAUGGUUGUAUGUUACAUGUAUAGAGAAUACGAAGAAAUGUUAUUGCUGCAAACUUAGUGUAGUGAAUUAAAAACUUAUUGUCAAAUACAAAUCAAUUUAUUUCAUACUUUUAUAAUAUAUAGUGAUAUAAUUUUAUAUGUGUUCAAAUAAAAAUAUUAAUAAAUAAAAUACAAUAAACACAAA
Diabrotica virgifera virgifera (western corn rootworm) is the source of this 1020-nucleotide long non-coding RNA. RefSeq lists it as uncharacterized. The record is from RefSeq and is a predicted model, not a curated record. The transcript has 2 exons. Lineage: Eukaryota; Metazoa; Arthropoda; Insecta; Coleoptera; Chrysomelidae.